This 469-nucleotide ribosomal RNA is filed under the name uncultured bacterium. Its description in RNAcentral is "partial 16S ribosomal RNA". It matches the Rfam family "Bacterial small subunit ribosomal RNA", at positions 28 to 507 of the family's 1533-position model. The record is from RNAcentral.
GACGAACGCUGGCGGCGUGCUUAACACAUGCAAGUCCCGGGGGCUCCUUCGGCGGCUAUCGGCGAACGGGUGCGUAACACGUUAGCUACCUCCCCCUCCGCGGGGGCUAGCCGGCCCAACGGCCGGGUAAUACUGCAUACGUUCUUCGCGGGGCAUCCCGGCAAGAAGAAACCUCCGGGGAGGAGGGAGGGGCUCGCGGCCUAUCCGCUAGUUGGCGGGUUGUCGGUCCACCAAGGCGGUGACGGGUGGCUGGCCUGAGAGGAUGGCCAGCCACAUGGGGGCGGAGAGAGGGCCCGGGCUCCGACGGGGGGCAGCAGUGGGGAAGGUUGCGGAAUGGCCUGACGGCUGACGCGGCGACGCCGGGUGGGGGAGGAAGGGCGUCGGCACGUAAACCCCUGUGGACCGGGGCGAACCGUGGGUUGAGGCCCACCUGACGGUACCGGGCGAGGAAGCACCGGCUAACUACGUG